AACGAACGCUGGCGGCGUGGAUAAGACAUGCAAGUCGAGCGAGAUUUUUUCUUGUAGCAAUACAGGGAAAAGUCUAGCGGCGAACGGGUGCUUAACACGUGGGCAACCUGCCGUGAAGUGGGGGAUAGCUCGCCGAAAGGCGAAUUAAUACCGCAUGUGAUUAGAGAGGACAUCCUUUCGAAAUUAAAGUCGGGGCAACCUGACGCUUCUUGUGGGGCCCGCGGCCUAUCAGCUAGUUGGUGAGGUAACGGCUCACCAAGGCUUUGACGGGUAGCUGGUCUGAGAGGACGACCAGCCACACUGGGACUGAGACACGGCCCAGACACCUACGGGUGGCAGCAGUCGAGAAUUUUUGACAAUGGGGGAAACCCUGAUCGAGCGACGCCGCGUGGAGGAUGAAGGUCUUCGGAUUGUAAACUCCUGUCAUUGGGGAACAAGGUGCAUACGUUAACUGCGUGUGCAUUGAUAGUACCCGAAGAGGAAGAGACGGCUAACUCUGUGC
This 502-nucleotide ribosomal RNA is filed under the name uncultured bacterium. RNAcentral's name for it is "bacterial SSU rRNA". It matches the Rfam family "Bacterial small subunit ribosomal RNA", at positions 29 to 508 of the family's 1533-position model. The record is from RNAcentral.